This 253-nucleotide ribosomal RNA is filed under the name uncultured bacterium. RNAcentral describes it as "partial 16S ribosomal RNA". It matches the Rfam family "Bacterial small subunit ribosomal RNA", at positions 524 to 775 of the family's 1533-position model. The record is from RNAcentral.
UACGUAGGGUGCAAGCGUUUAUCCGGAAUUAUUGGGCGUAAAGAGCUCGUAGGCGGUUUGUCACGUCUGCUGUGAAAACUGGAGGCUCAACCUCCAGCCUGCAGUGGGUACGGGCAGACUAGAGUGCGGUAGGGGAGAUUGGAAUUCCUGGUGUAGCGGUGGAAUGCGCAGAUAUCAGGAGGAACACCGAUGGCGAAGGCAGAUCUCUGGGCCGUAACUGACGCUGAGGAGCGAAAGCAUGGGGAGCGAACAG